This is a long non-coding RNA of Marmota flaviventris (yellow-bellied marmot), 202 nucleotides long. RefSeq lists it as uncharacterized. The record is from RefSeq and is a predicted model, not a curated record. NCBI's taxonomy places the organism in Eukaryota, Metazoa, Chordata, Mammalia, Rodentia, Sciuridae.
AAUCUAGGUCCCGAACCGUGCUAGGUGAGCGCUCUACUGCUGAGCCACAGUCCCAGCCUCCUAAUUCUCUUUUCUAUGAGAUAUCCUCACCUCCAAUGGCCCUCAUCCUUGUGUGCCUGGAUCUGACUGGCCUCAUUCCCUCAUGAGUCAUUCUGCCUACAAAUCCUCAGCACGGGAGACUCAACUCAGGAUCUUGAGGCUU